This 78-nucleotide microRNA precursor is filed under the name Trichobilharzia regenti. RNAcentral's name for it is "mir-3492 microRNA precursor family". It matches the Rfam family "mir-3492 microRNA precursor family". Lineage: Eukaryota; Metazoa; Platyhelminthes; Trematoda; Strigeidida; Schistosomatidae. The record is from Rfam by way of RNAcentral.
AGUCGUCUGUAUCCGUGCUGAGAUUUCGUCAGAGAUCAACCCGUUGGGGUUGAUGGAAUUUCCCAGAUCAGUGAAGCU